Molecule: ribosomal RNA, 433 nt
Filed under: uncultured bacterium
Lineage: Bacteria
Description: partial 16S ribosomal RNA
Rfam family: Bacterial small subunit ribosomal RNA
Source: RNAcentral
AACGAACGCUGGCGGCAUGCCUAACACAUGCAAGUCGAACGAGACCUUCGGGUCUAGUGGCGCACGGGUGCGUAACGCGUGGGAACCUGCCCUUAGGUUCGGAAUAACUCCCCGAAAGGGGUGCUAAUACCGGAUAAUGUCUUCGGACCAAAGAUUUAUCGCCUUUGGAUGGGCCCGCGUUGGAUUAGCUGGUUGGUAGGGUAAAAGCCUACCAAGGCGACGAUCCAUAGCUGGUCUGAGAGGAUGAUCAGCCACACUGGGACUGAGACACGGCCCAGACUCCUACGGGAGGCAGCAGUGGGGAAUAUUGGACGAUGGGCGAAAGCCUGAUCCAGCAAUGCCGGGUGAGUGAUGAAGGCCUUAGGGUUGUAAAGCUCUUUUACCCGGGAUGAUAAUGACAGUACCGGGAGAAUAAGCUCCGGCUAACUCCGUG